This 254-nucleotide ribosomal RNA is filed under the name uncultured bacterium. RNAcentral describes it as "partial 16S ribosomal RNA". It matches the Rfam family "Bacterial small subunit ribosomal RNA", at positions 524 to 776 of the family's 1533-position model. The record is from RNAcentral.
UACGGGGGGGGCAAGCGUUGUUCGGAAUUACUGGGCGUAAAGGGCUCGUAGGCGGCCAACUAAGUCAGACGUGAAAUCCCUCGGCUUAACCGGGGAACUGCGUCUGAUACUGGAUGGCUUGAGUUUGGGAGAGGGAUGCGGAAUUCCAGGUGUAGCGGUGAAAUGCGUAGAUAUCUGGAGGAACACCGGGGGCGAAGGCGGCAUCCUGGGCCAACACUGGAGCUGAGUGAGCGAAAGCCAGGGGAGCAAACGGG